This is a long non-coding RNA of Meleagris gallopavo (turkey), 2098 nucleotides long. The record is from Ensembl. Lineage: Eukaryota; Metazoa; Chordata; Aves; Galliformes; Phasianidae.
AGAGCAAGACUUUAAGGACAUUUUGAAUUCAGCAAAUUAAUUCUGAACAAUAGACCAAAACAGCAUUUUCACACGCCUCAAUGUCUUCCACCUCCCCGUGUUGAGAAUGCCCCAGGUACAGAACUGCACACAGACACAUUCCAAAGCUUAAUGAAAUGAGCGUCUGUCUGGAGGUUGUUAAAGAAACAAGUGACAAUUAAACAUGAUUUGCCUCUGAAUAUCAGGGAAGAAAAAGACUGCGACAGAAGAUCUCCCUAUAAGAAAUUAGCCAUCACCUUCCUGCCUUACUACCUACGAAAUCUUGCUCAAUGAACUAAUUUACAAGCACUGAUAGUGAGUAUUUGUUGUUUUAAUGUAAACAUUCUGUUUUCUCUAUCCAAUGUCUCAGUCCAAAAAUAAAGCAAGAAAAUUUCCACGUUAUCUAUGAGAUGAGACAUUCAGAGAGAACUUUAUUUUCAUUCAGGAAAUAUUUUUCAGAACUGAGCUCAGAGGAAACCCAGGUACACAAUUUCUCAGGGACAGCCUUGUGCACAUGCCGAGAUGCAGCAAGAGGGAAUGGUAUGCUGGAGCGGUACAAGCCCUGUGUUUGCUUUCUCACCAUUGUCUGGCUUCCCCACACUUGUUGAAAUCACAGCAGUUUUCAAUAUAGAAAAGUGAGUUUGCUAAACACGAAUGAACGAAAAACCCUGCUUUCAGUCAUGGAGCUGCAUGUCACACAUUCACUGAGAGUAUCCAAUAGCGUACGCAACAUAAAUUUCCCUUCUGUGCUUUUAGAACAGCUUUUCUUCAGUUAAAUCUACUUUGUAAAUCAUGACAAGUACGAAUCUUUCAUGAUUCUCCAGCACUUCUUUGGACUUCACGCUACAGUCUUAUUGUUUGUGACAUGAAGCAAAACAAGCAAUACUGCUUUUCCUCAUAACCUUUUUUAAUCAGUGAACAUAAAUGGAAAAAAAUAGCGAAGCACUGAAUUUCUUUAUAGAAUAGCUUACAUCAAAAAGCGUCUUCGUUACAGAGAAAAAAGAGGAAUGUAGUUAAUAGAGUGUGUGCUCACAGUGACUUUCUGUUUGAUUAGUAGGCUGCUGCAAAAGGCAGCACUGAGCCUGAUUUAGAAAAACAGUGAGGAGCAUCUAGUCAGGAGAAUCUGACUGCCAGCUUUGUGAAUACACUUGUAGCCCCUGGUUUGUUUCAUUGGUUGUUUCAUUUCUAAAUCAUUUUUAAGAUCACUAGAUAUACAAACAUUAUUAUGCCAAAUAAAAUGGGGGAAAAAAUACCCACAGAAGAAACUGACACCAGGAAAAUAGCAACAAAGAUAAUAAAUCAGGCUGAGCACAGUGCAGUGUGCCCAAAAGCCCAGGUUUUGAGAGUAAAUUAGGUUAAAAAUAAAGUGUAAUUUUCCUUUUUCAAGCUAUUCUGCCCUUGGCCUUCUUGAUUUGUUCAACUUGCACUUGUGAGAUAUGAUGUACUCAACAGUUAUUGCUUUUGCAUAUUCUCAUUUCAGAGGGCUGUAUAUCAUAAGGCAUUAAAAUUUCAGUAUUCCUGCUAGAGGCUCUCAAGUAAUUUUAUAAUUCUGUGGUUUAAUUAUUGAAAUAAUUGCAAUGUACAUUCAAUAAGUGCAGCAGUGCACUGGUGAUAUGAACAGUGUGAUAUACACGUAUUCUCAGUGGUAGAGGAAGCCUACACUGUCAUCAGCCAUGCUAGCUCCUCUACACAAAGUAAUUAUGGAGAGACAGGGUUUUUUGAGAGCUAACAGCCAAAUAGUAACAUUUCUUCAGCACACCAAUUUCUCCUACAGAAUUUCUGCAGACAUCCUUAGUUCCUUGCAGGUGGGUACCUGCAGAGCUUGGGCAGCAGAGAGGGAUGCAACACAAAUCCGCUAAAACCAGGUGGGGGCAUUUUCUCCCCUGCAAAUAAAGCCUGAUCCUUUAGUUGAACCAUGCCUUAGGGGAAAAACUUGAUGCUUUUGUACACUCCCUAUGAUCCCAAUGGAUGAGCAUUCAAAUGGGAAAUUCUGGUCCAAAUACGUGUCUCCAUCCUUAUAGCUCAACUCAGUGCCUUGAGCAUCCUGAGGCUCCAAAAUCCCCCUGAAAAUUCUACAAAG